Molecule: non-coding RNA, 46 nt
Organism: Schistosoma rodhaini
Lineage: Eukaryota; Metazoa; Platyhelminthes; Trematoda; Strigeidida; Schistosomatidae
Source: Rfam
CCACUGCUAAGUAGUCCCAUAAUAGGACGAAACGGCCGUCCAGUGC